Molecule: non-coding RNA, 46 nt
Organism: Schistosoma margrebowiei
Lineage: Eukaryota; Metazoa; Platyhelminthes; Trematoda; Strigeidida; Schistosomatidae
Source: Rfam
GCACUGUUGAGGAGCCCCAUAAUAGGACGAAACGGCCUUCCAGUGC